Molecule: ribosomal RNA, 468 nt
Filed under: uncultured bacterium
Lineage: Bacteria
Description: partial 16S ribosomal RNA
Rfam family: Bacterial small subunit ribosomal RNA
Source: RNAcentral
GACGAACGCUGGCGGCGUGCUUAACACAUGCAAGUCGAACGGAAAGGCCCUGCUUUUGUGGGGUGCUCGAGUGGCGAACGGGUGAGUAACACGUGAGUAACCUGCCCUUGACUUUGGGAUAACUUCAGGAAACUGGGGCUAAUACCGGCUAGGAGCUCCUGCUGCAUGGUGGGGGUUGGAAAGUUUCGGCGGUUGGGGAUGGACUCGCGGCUUAUCAGCUUGUUGGUGGGGUAGUGGCUUACCAAGGCUUUGACGGGUAGCCGGCCUGAGAGGGUGACCGGCCACAUUGCGACUGAGAUACGGCCCAGACGCCUACGGGAGGCAGCAGUGGGGAAUAUUGCACAAUGGGCGGAAGCCUGAUGCAGCAACGCCGCGUGCGGGAUGACGGCCUUCGGGUUGUAAACCGCUUUCGCCUGUGACGAAGCGUGAGUGACGGUAAUGGGUAAAGAAGCACCGGCUAACUACGUG